UCGGGAAUUUUGGGCAAUGGGCGAAAGCCUGAUCCAGCCAUGCCGCGUGAGUGACGAAGGUCUUCGGAUUGUAAAGCUCUUUUGGCGGGGACGAUAAUGACGGUACCCGCAGAAUAAGCCCCGGCUAACUUCGUGCCAGCAGCCGCGGUAAUACGAAGGGGGCUAGCGUUGUUCGGAAUUACUGGGCGUAAAGCGCACGUAGGCGGAUUUGUAAGUCAGGGGUGAAAUCCCGGGGCUCAACCUCGGAACUGCCCUUGAUACUGCAAAUCUCGAGUCCGAUAGAGGUGAGUGGAAUUCCUAGUGUAGAGGUGAAAUUCGUAGAUAUUAGGAAGAACACCAGUGGCGAAGGCGGCUCACUGGAUCGGUACUGACGCUGAGGUGCGAAAGCGUGGGGAGCAAACAGGAUUAGAUACCCAAGUAGUCCCUGAGCGGGCUGGCAAGGCGCAU
RNAcentral lists this ribosomal RNA (447 nucleotides) under uncultured bacterium. RNAcentral's name for it is "bacterial SSU rRNA". It matches the Rfam family "Bacterial small subunit ribosomal RNA", at positions 355 to 825 of the family's 1533-position model. The record is from RNAcentral.